AUUGAACGCUGGCGGCAUGCCUUACACAUGCAAGUCGAACGGUAACAGGUCUUCGGAUGCUGACGAGUGGCGAACGGGUGAGUAAUACAUCGGAACGUGCCUAGUAGUGGGGGGUAACUACUCGAAAGAGUGGCUAAUACCGCAUGAGAUCUACGGAUGAAAGCAGGGGAUCGCAAGACCUUGUGCUACUAGAGCGGCCGAUGGCAGAUUAGGUAGUUGGGGGGAUAAAAGCUUACCAAGCCGACGAUUUGUAGGUGGUCUGAGAGGACGAUCAGCCACACUGGGACUGAGACACGGCCCAGACUCCUACGGGAGGCAGCAGUGGGGAAUUUUGGACAAUGGGCGAAAGCCUGAUCCAGCAAUGCCGCGUGCAGGAUGAAGGCCUUCGGGUUGUAAACUGCUUUUGUACGGAACGAAAAGCCCUGGGUUAAUACCCUGGGGUCAUGACGGUACCGUAAGAAUAAGCACCGGCUAACUACGUGCCAGCAGCCGCAGUAA
This 498-nucleotide ribosomal RNA is filed under the name uncultured bacterium. RNAcentral's name for it is "partial 16S ribosomal RNA". It matches the Rfam family "Bacterial small subunit ribosomal RNA", at positions 30 to 523 of the family's 1533-position model. The record is from RNAcentral.